RNAcentral lists this ribosomal RNA (444 nucleotides) under uncultured bacterium. RNAcentral's name for it is "bacterial SSU rRNA". It matches the Rfam family "Bacterial small subunit ribosomal RNA", at positions 337 to 794 of the family's 1533-position model. The record is from RNAcentral.
UCCUACGGGACGCAGCAAUUAGGAAUCUUGCGCAAUGGGCGAAAGCCUGACGCAGCGACGCCGCGUGGAGGAGGAAGUCCUUCGGGAUGUAAACUCCUUUUGCCAGGGAAGAAGGAUGUGACGGUACCUGGUGAAGAAGCCCCGGCUAACUACGUGCCAGCAGCCGCGGUAAUACGUAGGGGGCGAGCGUUGUCCGAAGUUACUGGGCGUAAAGCGCGCGUAGGCGGGCGGCUAAGUGAGCGGUGAAAGGCUCCGGCUCAACCGGAUGCAGUGCCACUCAUACUGGCGGUCUUGAGGGCGGCAGGGAGAAGUGGAAUGGCUGGUGUAGCGGUGAAAUGCGUAGAUAUCAGUCGGAACACCUGUGGCGAAGGCGGCUUCUUGGGCCGCACCUGACGCUGAGGCGCGAAAGCCAGGGGAGCGAACGGGAUUAGAUACCCCGGUAGU